Triticum dicoccoides is the source of this 528-nucleotide long non-coding RNA. RefSeq lists it as uncharacterized. The record is from RefSeq and is a predicted model, not a curated record. The transcript has 4 exons. NCBI's taxonomy places the organism in Eukaryota, Viridiplantae, Streptophyta, Magnoliopsida, Poales, Poaceae.
UGGCGGGGAAAGGGCAAGAUCACAAGAUGGUGAAUCUAGAAGAUGGGUGGAACUUCAUCAUGAAGAAGGGCAUCAAAAAUCUCAUGAGCAUCCUCGAGGGCAAGCUGGAGCCGCAGUUCAACUCCAAGGAUUCACAUUGCUCUACACCUCGCAAAAGACUCAGCACUACUCGCAACAGCUCUACGACAAGUACCAUCUGUCCUUCAAAGAGUAUAUCCGGGCCAUGUCCUAUCAUUUCAGUUUUGCGUCGGCCAAGAUAGGAGUUUUGCAAGGCAAUUAACUGAUGCACUUCUAGGCACAACAAUUUGUAAAUCUCUUGAAUUAAGAACGCCGCCAACAUCUUGCUUGACUCGGUCCCCCAUGCAGCAGGGUAACUGACAUCUGCAGCGUUGAGCCAAGCACCAUGGAUGCAGUCUCAUAUGUGAAUGGCUUCUUUACCUUUCUUUAGUAUUUCUGGUGCUGACUUAUCAUCGUCUUUUUCUGGUUGAAGGUCUUCAUCAUAGCAUAUUAAACGUUACAUUGGAUAGA